AACGGCCGUACCAUGCUGAAUAUACCGGUUCUCGUUAGAUCACUGAAGUUAAGCAUCAUUGGGCGCGGUCAGUACUUGGGUGGGUGACCACCUGGGAACACCGCGUGCCGUU
This 112-nucleotide ribosomal RNA is filed under the name Caerostris darwini. The record is from RNAcentral. Lineage: Eukaryota; Metazoa; Arthropoda; Arachnida; Araneae; Araneidae.